UACAGAGGUCCCAAGCGUUGUUCGGAUUCACUGGGCGUAAAGGGUGCGUAGGUGGUUGGGUAAGUCUGAGGUGAAAUCUCCGAGCUUAACUCGGAAACUGCCUUGGAUACUAUCCAGCUUGAGGGUUGGAGGGGGUACUGGAAUUCUCGGUGUAGCAGUGAAAUGCGUAGAUAUCGAGAGGAACACCAGUGGCGAAGGCGAGUCCCUGGACAACUCCUGACACUGAGGCACGAAAGCUAGGGGAGCAAACAGG
RNAcentral lists this ribosomal RNA (253 nucleotides) under uncultured bacterium. RNAcentral's name for it is "partial 16S ribosomal RNA". It matches the Rfam family "Bacterial small subunit ribosomal RNA", at positions 524 to 776 of the family's 1533-position model. The record is from RNAcentral.